GACCUCCGCAAUGCGAGCAAUCGCGACGGGGGGACCCCAAGUGCUACUUUAACGGGGUAGCUUUUCUAAAGUGCUUUUGGAUAAGGGCUGGCAAGACCGGUGCCAGCCGCCGCGGUAACACCGGCAGCUCUAGUGGUAGCCAUUUUUAUUGGGCCUAAAGCGUUCGUAGCCGGUUUGAUAAGUCUCUGGUGAAAUCCUAUAGCUUAACUGUGGGAAUGCUGGAGAUACUAUCAGGCUUGAGGUCGGGAGAGGUUAGGGGUACUCCCAGGGUAGGGUGAAAUCCUAUAAUCCUGGGAGGACCACCUGUGGCGAAGGCGGCUAACUGGAACGACCUGACGGUGAGGGACGAAAGCCAGGGGG
Molecule: ribosomal RNA, 360 nt
Filed under: uncultured archaeon
Lineage: Archaea
Description: bacterial SSU rRNA
Rfam family: Archaeal small subunit ribosomal RNA
Source: RNAcentral